Molecule: long non-coding RNA, 511 nt
Organism: Dermochelys coriacea (leatherback sea turtle)
Lineage: Eukaryota; Metazoa; Chordata; Testudines; Dermochelyidae
Exons: 3
Source: RefSeq, a predicted model, not a curated record
UCCACUGACCAAGGACAACACCGUGGUCAAGUCCUGGUGUUUCAGAGGGAAUGAACAGAACAGGUCAAAAUGAAAAUGAAAAGACAAAACACAAUACAACUUUUCCACUCAAAGGCCUCAAAAACUAACCAAGGUGAAGAACAUAUCAAGAACCAAGAAUAUAGCAACAUGUCAUCUGAAGGUUCAAGUGGUAUAUCUACAUCCGACCAGCCCAAAGCACAAAUACAGCUACCUAUGGAAGAUACAGUGUCUCCAAAACCUAAAGGCAGUUCCCAAUGUUCGUUGGUCAAAGUAUUCCCAUUUAUUGAAGUUACAAAAGAUGGCUACUGGUGCAUCUCUUGCAAAAAAGCUUACAGAAGAAGGAAAGCUUCCCAAUGCUAUAAUUGGUAAAAGUGGAGGAGCUUGGUUUGUCAAACGGAUCAACAAAGCCAAUGCUGACAAACUACAUGAAAAGGCUGCAAAACACCAGGCAUCUGGAGUGCAUCAACAUGCAGAAAGCCUUAUAAGCCCA